RNAcentral lists this transfer RNA (87 nucleotides) under Acidaminococcaceae bacterium. Its description in RNAcentral is "tRNA-Leu". It matches the Rfam family "tRNA". Rfam says of the family: Transfer RNA (tRNA) molecules are approximately 80 nucleotides in length. Their secondary structure includes four short double-helical elements and three loops (D, anti-codon, and T loops). The record is from RNAcentral. Lineage: Bacteria; Bacillati; Bacillota; Negativicutes; Acidaminococcales; Acidaminococcaceae.
GCCGAAGUGGCGGAAUUGGCAGACGCACUUGACUCAAAAUCAAGCGUAUACCCAUACGUGCCGGUUCGAGUCCGGCCUUCGGCACCA